ACAAGCCUAAAUUGACUAAAUGACUCAAACACAGGACCAGUUUAACAUUUAAGCCUAUAUGAUACCUAUAUCAUAGGUUGAUAAAAUAUGUUUAAUCUGUGAUACAGGUGUCUACAAAAUAAAUAAAAAUUAUCUACCUAUCAUCCAUAACAUAGUUCAAAGAAAUUUCAUUUUUCAUACAAUUAUGGAUCUAUAUUAUUAUAUAUGUUGAUAAUAAUAUAUAAUACAUACGAAAUACAUUAGUUAGCACAGUUAACCUAUGAUAGAGGUAGAAGAAAAAUUGGGAUACAAAGGGAAAAGGAGAAACAAUUAUUUAUUCUUAUAUUUAAUACUAAAAUUAAGUAAUGAUGAACGUAUAAAAAAGGGAUGACAUUUAUCACAAUUUAAUUAAAAUAGAUGUUAAUAACAAGUGAAUGGACCUAACCUAACAAAUUGGAUUAAACCUAAUAAUAACUCACAAAACUGGACUUAUAUCAAAUUUGCUCAAUUUUUAAAAAAGAGAAAAAAUGUUUCUAUGUUGUGGCUUAUUUUCACUGAGGGGUGCGGCAAAGAAUAGAGAGAGAGAAUUGUGGAAUUUCAAGGAUGUCAAUUUCCAUUUGCAUGUGCCUUUAUUU
This 614-nucleotide long non-coding RNA is filed under the name Malus domestica (apple). Its description in RNAcentral is "long non-coding RNA (MDOM_LNC004482)". The record is from RNAcentral. Lineage: Eukaryota; Viridiplantae; Streptophyta; Magnoliopsida; Rosales; Rosaceae.